UUAAUAAAGUGCAUCUGCUAUUCUCUUCAUUUAUGCUGUUCACAUGCAUCAGAGGAAUUGCCUGGAAAUAUAGAUUAUUUGCUCAGAGAAACAUAUAACUGGUUUCACAGAUCUGCUUUGCGCAGUGAUUCCUAUAUGGAGGUAUACAAUUUGAUAAACGAUGGCGAGGAACCCUUAAAAAUUCUUCCUCUUUCUCCUACACGGUGGCUAGCAAGAAGCAACUGUGUAAAAAGAAUCCUACAUCAAUGGGAUGCUUUACAAUUGCAUUUUAAAACGGUUUCUUCCAACUGUGAUAGAUAUUAUGCGAGAGAACUAUCUGCUAAGUAUUCUGAUGCAUCGAACAGAU
This 346-nucleotide long non-coding RNA is filed under the name Androctonus crassicauda. The record is from RNAcentral. Lineage: Eukaryota; Metazoa; Arthropoda; Arachnida; Scorpiones; Buthidae.